GACGAACGCUGGCGGCGUGCUUAACACAUGCAAGUCGAACGGAAAGGCCCUGCUUGCAGGGUACUCGAGUGGCGAACGGGUGAGUAACACGUGGGUGAUCUGCCCUGCACUUCGGGAUAAGCCUGGGAAACUGGGUCUAAUACCGGAUAGGAGCCAUUUUUAGUGUGAUGGUUGGAAAGUUUUUUCGGUGUAGGAUGAGCUCGCGGCCUAUCAGCUUGUUGGUGGGGUAAUGGCCUACCAAGGCGGCGACGGGUAGCCGGCCUGAGAGGGUGGACGGCCACAUUGGGACUGAGAUACGGCACAGACUCCUACGGGAGGCAGCAGUGGGGAAUAUUGCACAAUGGGCGCAAGCCUGAUGCAGCGACGCCGCGUGGGGGAUGACGGCCUUCGGGUUGUAAACUACUUUCGCUAGGGACGAAGCUUUUUGUGACGGUACCUAGAUAAGAAGCACCGGCUAACUACGUG
This 465-nucleotide ribosomal RNA is filed under the name uncultured bacterium. RNAcentral's name for it is "partial 16S ribosomal RNA". It matches the Rfam family "Bacterial small subunit ribosomal RNA", at positions 28 to 507 of the family's 1533-position model. The record is from RNAcentral.